Molecule: ribosomal RNA, 454 nt
Filed under: uncultured bacterium
Lineage: Bacteria
Description: partial 16S ribosomal RNA
Rfam family: Bacterial small subunit ribosomal RNA
Source: RNAcentral
GAUGAACGCUGACAGAAUGCUUAACACAUGCAAGUCAACUUGAACUUCGGUUUGGGUGGCGGACGGGUGAGUAACGCGUACAGAACUUGCCUCACAGCUAGGGACAACAUUUGGAAACGAAUGCUAAUACCUGAUAUUAUGAUUAUAUGGCAUCGUAUAAUUAUGAAAGCUAUAUGCGCUGUGAGAGAGCUUUGCGUCCCAUUAGCUAGUUGGAGAGGUAACAGCUCACCAAGGCGAUGAUGGGUAGCCGGCCUGAGAGGGUGAUCGGCCACAAGGGGACUGAGACACGGCCCUUACUCCUACGGGAGGCAGCAGUGGGGAAUAUUGGACAAUGGACCGAGAGUCUGAUCCAGCAAUUCUGUGUACACGAUGAAGUUUUUCGGAAUGUAAAGUGCUUUCAGUUGGGAAGAAAAAAAUGACGGUACCAACAGAAGAAGUGACGGCUAAAUACGUG